AUAUCUCUCUGUACGGGAAGGAUGAGAAGCUUCGACUAAGGUUCGAUUCGAGCGCAGCGAGAAAGCGUUGCCGCAGGCAACGAC
This 84-nucleotide small RNA is filed under the name Salmonella enterica subsp. enterica serovar Infantis. RNAcentral describes it as "partial RtT sRNA". It matches the Rfam family "RtT RNA", at positions 1 to 83 of the family's 130-position model. Rfam says of the family: This family represents a bacterial cis-regulatory element known as RtT RNA. The exact function of RtT is unknown although it is thought that it may be involved in changing the cellular response in relation to amino acid starvation. RNAcentral also lists the same sequence under 2 other names. The record is from RNAcentral. Lineage: Bacteria; Pseudomonadati; Pseudomonadota; Gammaproteobacteria; Enterobacterales; Enterobacteriaceae.